Molecule: unclassified non-coding RNA, 453 nt
Filed under: Hevea brasiliensis (rubber tree)
Lineage: Eukaryota; Viridiplantae; Streptophyta; Magnoliopsida; Malpighiales; Euphorbiaceae
Source: RNAcentral
GAACCCUCUGAGGAAUUAGGAAGUUUGCUAGUCUUUGUUGCCAGCCAUUCAUCACCCUUCUCAAUGGCAAUCGAGCACAAUGACUGAACAUCGCUGGCAAUAGAAAGUCUGCUAACAAUUCCUCGAGCCAUCUUGGAUGAUACUCCAUUCACUGGGCCAACUUCCAUCUCCAAUUUUGCCUUGGCUUCUUUAAUAAUUUCAUGAAGUUCUUUAAAUCUGGAUGUCCCAUCCAGGAGCCUGAAACUCAGGUAUAUUCUGUAGCAGAGGACAUCAACACGGCGAGCAUCCUUAGCUACACAAAGCUGUUUCUUCCAAAACCCAAGAAUUCCAGAAACUUUACCACAAGAAGCACAACAAUAGCUCCCAUCUAGCUGCAUCAGUUGUCCUAGAUCAACAACUCCCACCUUCCCACGUUGGAGUGCACACUCAACGUGACAAGUCAGGCCACAGGAG